This 72-nucleotide transfer RNA is filed under the name Stegodyphus mimosarum. It matches the Rfam family "tRNA". From Rfam's summary of the family: Transfer RNA (tRNA) molecules are approximately 80 nucleotides in length. Their secondary structure includes four short double-helical elements and three loops (D, anti-codon, and T loops). Further hydrogen bonds mediate the characteristic L-shaped molecular structure. tRNAs have two regions of fundamental functional importance: the anti-codon, which is responsible for specific mRNA codon recognition, and the 3' end, to which the tRNAs corresponding amino acid is attached (by aminoacyl-tRNA synthetases). tRNAs cope with the degeneracy of the genetic code in two manners: having more than one tRNA (with a specific anti-codon) for a particular amino acid; and 'wobble' base-pairing, i.e. permitting non-standard base-pairing at the 3rd anti-codon position. The record is from Rfam by way of RNAcentral. Lineage: Eukaryota; Metazoa; Arthropoda; Arachnida; Araneae; Eresidae.
GUCUUCGUGGUGUAAUGGUCAGCACACUCGGCGCCUACUCGAGAGGUCCAGGUUCAAGUCCUGGCGAACGCA